This 418-nucleotide ribosomal RNA is filed under the name uncultured bacterium. Its description in RNAcentral is "bacterial SSU rRNA". It matches the Rfam family "Bacterial small subunit ribosomal RNA", at positions 29 to 436 of the family's 1533-position model. The record is from RNAcentral.
AAUGAACGCUGGCGGCGCGCCUAAUACAUGCAAGUCGAGCGAGAAGACGUAGCAAUACGUUUGUAAAGCGGCGAACGGGUGAGGAAUACAUGGGUAACCUACCCUCGAGUGGGGAAUAACUAGCCGAAAGGUUAGCUAAUACCGCGUACGCUUCUUGGGCUUCGGUUCAGGGAGGAAAGCGAUACCGUGGGUAUCGCGCUCUUGGAUGGGCUCAUGUCCUAUCAGCUUGUUGGUGAGGUAACGGCUCACCAAGGCUUCGACGGGUAGCUGGUCUGAGAGGACGAUCAGCCACACUGGCACUGCGACACGGGCCAGACUCCUACGGGAGGCAGCAGUAAGGAAUAUUGCGCAAUGGGCGAAAGCCUGACGCAGCGACGCCGCGUGGGGGGAUGAAGGUCUUCGGAUUGUAAACCCCUUU